Eriocheir sinensis (Chinese mitten crab) is the source of this 1350-nucleotide long non-coding RNA. RefSeq lists it as uncharacterized. The record is from RefSeq and is a predicted model, not a curated record. The transcript is spliced from 5 exons. NCBI's taxonomy places the organism in Eukaryota, Metazoa, Arthropoda, Malacostraca, Decapoda, Varunidae.
UCUCGCACGCCACAUGCCCUCCAAGAACUCUUUCACUGCCUCAAUCACUCGUCCACUCGUCUCUCCACUGAGCCCCAGCAGCAGCACCGGCUCAGGCCCAAAGAAGAAGAAGAAGAGUAGAUUCAACGGAGCUGCCUGCGUAGCGACCUAAGCAUUACUUUUUCUCGUGUUUACCUUCAAACUACAAUGAAGAGAAGUUCCGCAGCCUUUAAGAAGAAGGUGAAGGGCACAGGGACGGCCAGGGAAAGUAAGAAAAGCUGCAGAGAAGCCUUCAUAUGACGAAAGUGCCUCCACCACCGCUUCCACCACCACCACCACUACCACCAAGUCACCACACUAAGUGGUGGCAGCGUCAGCCUGAGACGAUUAGUACUGCGGCACGCGUACGUCCGGCUUCCCAAACCUCCGAGGGAGCUGCUCGUGCAACACACUGAGACUCGUCUGGAGCCCAGGAAGAAGCUUGUGUCUGAGUACGAGGCGCUGAUGGAAGUGGCGGCGCUGUCAGCCAGUCCAGCUGGCCACCUCUCCGGGCCCAUAGUCGUGGGGGGCAUCUUGGCGGAGGGGACUGUAAGGGUUCAUGGAGCUCCUGGCUCAAAUUACAAGCAAAAGUACUUGAAGGGCGGGAACUUGAGGCUGCUGAGUACCCCCUUGGCCGAGGGAGGGGACCAGGCCUUCCUAACACUUAGCUUUACUCAGGUCAACCGCAAGAGUCUGGACUUCCAGAUCAAGUAUGGGUGCAGCCUGCAGCACCUCCACGGGGUAGUGAGCCAGCUAAAGGCCCACCUGGAGCAGUCUGGCAGCCUCAGCGCCCUGCCGGCCCUCGUGGAGUGAUUGUCUUGCUGUCUGGGGUGACUUAGGAGGCUGGACAAGGGAAAGGGAAGGCAUGGUUAGGGUAGUGAUUGUCCUGCUGUUUGGGGUGACUUAGGAGGCUGGACAAGGGAAAGGGAAGGCAUGGUGGAUGAGUGGAAUAGGCUUAGCAGUCAUGUGGUGAGUGCCAAUACAAUUGUCACAUUCAAAAAUAGACUAGAUAAAUUCAUGGACAGCGAUAUUAGGUGGGGUUAGAUACACGGGAGCUUAGGGUCAAAGGAGCUGCCUCGUACAGGCCUACCGGCCUCUUGUAGACUCCUGCGUUCUUAUGUUCUUAUGGUUAGGGUAGUGAUUGUCCUGCUGUUUGGGGUGACUUAGGAGGCUGGACAAGGGAAAGGGAAGGCAUGGUUAGGGUAGUGAUUGUCCUGCUGUUUGGGGUGACUUAGGAGGCUGGACAAGGGAAAGGGAAGGCAUGGUUAGGGUAGUGAUUGUCCUGCUGUUUGGGGUGACUUAGGAGGCUGGACAAGGGAAAGGGAAGGCAUG